UGAGUUUGCUUCUCGUCAGGAUUUAGGCUUGUUUAUUUUAACAAAUCUUUGGGAUGGGAUUAUGCUGCAGAGCUAGCUUGUUUGUGCUAGUUGACCACUUGAGCAAGUGAGGUGGGUGAUACUCUACCCGUCCCAAAAUAGACGGCAUGUUUUUUUGCACGGUCUUUUGAUGCACAACUUUAACCACUAAUAUUUCGUAUAUUUAUUAAAAAAAAAUUGACAUACUAUACAUAUAAAUCGAGAUCAAAGUUAUGAGUUUGUUGACCAGCGAAAUUUAAGGGCCCUUAUAUUUUGGGACAGAGGGGGUUACAGUUAAGCUAGGAUACUGAACCUCAGUAAGCCACCAUUUUUACUGUUUAGUUAUACAGACUUGUGGUAGCAAUCACGACGAAGUAAUUUAAACUCAUUUCCCGGCAGCACAUAUAGUAAGUAUUAGGGAUUAUGAACUUAUGUUGUUCCUAUUCCAUAUUUCUUUAUG
Long non-coding RNA from Lolium rigidum, 478 nucleotides. RefSeq lists it as uncharacterized. The record is from RefSeq and is a predicted model, not a curated record. Lineage: Eukaryota; Viridiplantae; Streptophyta; Magnoliopsida; Poales; Poaceae. The transcript is spliced from 3 exons.